Molecule: long non-coding RNA, 778 nt
Filed under: Struthio camelus australis
Lineage: Eukaryota; Metazoa; Chordata; Aves; Struthioniformes; Struthionidae
Description: lncRNA (ENSSCUG00000003428.1)
Source: RNAcentral
CAACAUCUGCAGAAUAUGAUAGGAAACAAAAACAUCUGUUUUCAGUGCCUUUGCUGUAUUGUGUCUUUACAGUGGCUCACGUGCAGACCUGAAGCCAUGCCAUCUUGGGAUGCUUUCUCCUUUUUUAUGUGUAAAAAGCCUUGAGCAAGCUUGAUACUCAAAGGAAAGCAUGCAUGAUUCUGUUGGCCUGUUCUGUAUCUGCCGAGGAAAUUCACCUUCCCUUCCACCUCUCAGGGGCUUGAGAAUGCCAGACUGGGAGAUGAAGCCUCACGAGAGCAGGGGAGCAAGUCGUACUCUCUCAAUUUUGGUCUACAGGAUGAUUUUGCACAGCCUGGUGUGCAACUCUCCAAGGUAUUAUCUCCUACAUACAAAAUUGAUGGUGCUUGUGACCUCUUUUAUAAACAUAUUUUGACAACUACUGAUGAAAAUUAUUGCUUAAGAUCUGGAGGAAUGAGUGAACCAAAGGACCUCAUAACAAGGGAAAAUGAAGCGUGGGACUAUCUGUGGAAAAUUUAAGGUACAAGUACAGUAAAUAUUCCUUUGGUCCCUCUUCUGACACCAUUUAUAGCCUGUCUGAAUAUAUAGAGGGACGCUUGUUUUUGUAUGGAUUGUGUUAUUUCUUUAUCUUGUUCACAUUUCUCCUCAAAGACCAGGAAAUCAGAAGCGUCAGCUACUGGGGAGGCAAACACAAAUCCUACAACUAAUCCCAGAAAUUUCAUUUUGAGAAAGAAACUGUCAUUUCAUUACGAAAUGAAAGUGGUCUUUCUCUGCUGCAGGC